GCCAGGCGUGGUGGCGCGUGCUUGUAGUCCCAGUUAUUCGGGAGGCUGAGGCAGGAGAAUCACUUGAACCCAGGAGGCAGAGGUUGCAGUGAGCCAAGAUCGCGCCACUGCACUCCAGCCUGGGUGACAUAGUGAGAUUCUGUCUCAA
RNAcentral lists this non-coding RNA (148 nucleotides) under Gorilla gorilla gorilla (western lowland gorilla). The record is from Rfam by way of RNAcentral. Lineage: Eukaryota; Metazoa; Chordata; Mammalia; Primates; Hominidae.